AACGCACCUUGCGCUCCUUGGUAUUCCGAGGAGCAUGCCUGUUUGAGUGUCAUUAAAUUCUCAACCUCACCAGUUUUGCUGUGUGAUGGCUUGGAUGUGGGGGUUGCAGGUCCACUCUGUGGUCUGCUCCUCUGAAAUGUAUUAGUGGGUUAGGCCCCUAAUCUAUUGGUGUGAUAAUUAUCUACGCCGUGGAUUGGAUGGCUGUUAUAGACCUGCUUCUAACCGUCCCUCGCAGGACAACUUUGACAUUUUUGACCUCAAAUCAGGUAAGACUACCCGCUGAACUUAA
This 289-nucleotide unclassified non-coding RNA is filed under the name uncultured fungus. RNAcentral's name for it is "partial contains 5.8S ribosomal RNA, internal transcribed spacer 2, and large subunit ribosomal RNA". The stretch from base 1 to 52 matches the Rfam family "5.8S ribosomal RNA", at positions 103 to 154 of the family's 154-position model. The record is from RNAcentral. Lineage: Eukaryota; Fungi.